RNAcentral lists this ribosomal RNA (419 nucleotides) under bacterium. RNAcentral's name for it is "partial 16S ribosomal RNA". It matches the Rfam family "Bacterial small subunit ribosomal RNA", at positions 355 to 776 of the family's 1533-position model. The record is from RNAcentral.
UGGGGGAUAUUGCACGAUGGGCGAAAGCCUGAUGCAGCGACGCCGCGUGGGGGAUGAAGGCCUUCGGGUUGUAAACUUCUUUUGCUCUGAACAAGGCGCACCAUGGGGUGUGUUGAGUGUAGGGGUUGAUUAGCGCCGGCUAACUACGUGCCAGCAGCCGCGGUAAUACGUAGGGCGCGAGCGUUGUCCGGAAUUAUUGGGCGUAAAGGGCUUGUAGGUGGCUGGUUGCGUCUGUCGUGAAAGCUCAUGGCUUAACUGUGGGUUUGCGGUGGGUACGGGCUGGCUUGAGUGCAGUAGGGGAGGCUGGAAUUCCUGGUGUAGCGGUGGAAUGCGCAGAUAUCAGGAGGAAUACCGGUGGCGAAGGCGGGUCUCUGGGCUGUUACUGACACUGAGGAGCGAAAGCAUGGGGAGCGAACAGG